RNAcentral lists this unclassified non-coding RNA (329 nucleotides) under soil metagenome. RNAcentral describes it as "partial contains 5.8S ribosomal RNA, internal transcribed spacer 2, and large subunit ribosomal RNA". The stretch from base 1 to 120 matches the Rfam family "5.8S ribosomal RNA", at positions 35 to 154 of the family's 154-position model. The record is from RNAcentral.
GAUGAAGAACGUAGCGAAAUGCGAUAAGUAAUGUGAAUUGCAGAAUUCCGUGAAUCAUCGAAUCUUUGAACGCAUAUUGCGCCCUCUGGCAUUCCGAGGGGCAUGCCUGUUCGAGCGUCAUUAUAACCCCUCAAGCUCAGCUUGGUGUUGGGGCCUGCUGCACUGGCAGCCCUUAAAAUCAGUGGCGGCGCCAUCUGGCUCUAAGCGUAGUAAUUCUUCUCGCUAUGGAGUCCUGGUGGAUGCUUGCCAUCAACCCCCAAUUUUUCUAUGGUUGACCUCGGAUCAGGUAGGGAUACCCGCUGAACUUAAGCAUAUCAAUAAGCGGAGGA